UUGGUUUAAAUUAUUGUGGGUUUAUACUUUGAAAAUUAAACUCACAUAAAGUAGUGGAAAAUACAUUAAUUUCAUCAAA
Molecule: microRNA precursor, 79 nt
Filed under: Medicago truncatula (barrel medic)
Lineage: Eukaryota; Viridiplantae; Streptophyta; Magnoliopsida; Fabales; Fabaceae
Description: MIR5269 microRNA precursor family
Rfam family: MIR5269 microRNA precursor family
Source: Rfam by way of RNAcentral